RNAcentral lists this unclassified non-coding RNA (331 nucleotides) under Hevea brasiliensis (rubber tree). The record is from RNAcentral. Lineage: Eukaryota; Viridiplantae; Streptophyta; Magnoliopsida; Malpighiales; Euphorbiaceae.
GGAUAACCCAUCGAGGGCACUCGAGUAACUUCUAGUGUAUGAAAAUCGCUUGUACGCAGAACAGAACCCUCUGAGAGUGAUCCUGAGUGGAAAGAUUCAUCAUCAACCUUGGAUCUUACAAUCUGGUACUCAAGCGUCAUCCAAUUCUCAAUCCGAACGGCUUCAUCCCGAGGAGCAAAAACACUAACUGUCUUGUUGUAGAAUUUCACCAUGUUUCUGCCAUAGCCACACCGUUCACUGAACGAUGCUCUAUAAGGUAUUACAUUAACCAAAUUUCUCUGGAGAAUUAAGGACAUGAUUUUAUAGCCUGCAUUCCACAAGGCAUUUGCUA